GAUGAACGCUGGCGGCGUGCCUAAUACAUGCAAGUCGAGCGAACAGACGAGGAGCUUGCUCCUCUGACGUUAGCGGCGGACGGGUGAGUAACACGUGGAUAACCUACCUAUAAGACUGGGAUAACUUCGGGAAACCGGAGCUAAUACCGGAUAAUAUAUUGAACCGCAUGGUUCAAUAGUGAAAGACGGUUUUGCUGUCACUUAUAGAUGGAUCCGCGCCGCAUUAGCUAGUUGGUAAGGUAACAGGUUACCAAGGCAACGAUGCGUAGCCGACCUGAGAGGGGGAUAGGCGACACUGGAACUGAGACACGGUCAAGACUCCUGCGGGAGGCAGCAGUAGGGAACCUUCCGCAAUGGGCGAAAGCCUGACGGAGCAACGCCGCGUGAGUGAUGAAGGUCUUCGGAUCGUAAAACUCUGUUAUUAGGGAAGAACAAAUGUGUAAGUAACUAUGCACGUCUUGACGGUACCUAAUCAGAAAGCCACGGCUAACUACGUG
Molecule: ribosomal RNA, 497 nt
Filed under: uncultured bacterium
Lineage: Bacteria
Description: partial 16S ribosomal RNA
Rfam family: Bacterial small subunit ribosomal RNA
Source: RNAcentral